CGGUUGAUCCUGCCGGAGGCUACCACUAUCAGGGUUCGACUAAGCCAUGCGAGGCAUUGUCGCAAGCAAGCCGAAUUGCUCAGUAACACGUAGUUAACCAACCCUUAGGUGGAGGAUAACUGUGGGAAACUGCAGAUAAUCCUCCAUAGGUGAUGAGGGCUGGAAGGCCUCUUCACCGAAAGCGCAAGGCGCCUAAGGAUGGGACUGCGGUGGAUUAGGUUGUUGUUAGGAUAAAUGCCUAACAAACCUAUAAUCCGUAGGGGUCGUGAGAGCGAUAGCCCCGAGAUGCACUCUGAGACAUGAGUGCAGGCUCUACGGAGCGCAGCAGGCGCGAAACCUUCACAAUGCACGAAAGUGUGAUGAGGGAACCCUGAGUGGACUCGCUUUGCGAGUCCUUUUUCCGAGUGUAAAAAGCUCGGCGAAUAAGUGGUGGGUAAGACGGUUGCCAGCCGCCGCGGUAAUAACCGCGCCACAAGUGGUAGUCACGUUUAUUGGGCCUAAAGCGUCCGUAGCCGGCCUGAUAAGUCUCUGGUGAAAUUCUACAGUGCUACGCAUUCUUGACCUUUGUGUUCUUCGAACACAAAAUCCUACAGUAAACUGUAGGGCUUGCUGGGGAUACUAUCAGGCUUGGAGCCGGGAGAGGUUGAGGGUAUUUCAUGGGUAGGAGUAAAAUCCUUUAAUCCAUGAAGGACCACCUGUGGCGAAGGCGCUCAACUGGAACGGGCUCGACGGUGAGGGACGAAAGCUAGGGGAGCAACCGGGAUUAGAUACCCCGUUAGUCCUAGCUGUAAACUAUGCCCGCUUGGUGUUGCAGUUUCUUUGGGAAACUGCAGUGCCGUAGCGAAGGUGUUAAGCGGGCCGCCUGGGGAGUACGGUCGCAAGGCUGAAACUUAAAGGAAUUGGCGGGGGAGCAC
Molecule: ribosomal RNA, 914 nt
Filed under: uncultured archaeon
Lineage: Archaea
Description: bacterial SSU rRNA
Rfam family: Archaeal small subunit ribosomal RNA
Source: RNAcentral